RNAcentral lists this ribosomal RNA (253 nucleotides) under uncultured bacterium. RNAcentral's name for it is "partial 16S ribosomal RNA". It matches the Rfam family "Bacterial small subunit ribosomal RNA", at positions 524 to 776 of the family's 1533-position model. The record is from RNAcentral.
UACGUAGGGGGCGAGCGUUAUCCGGAUAUAUUGGGCGCAAAGGGUGCGUAGGCUGCGUUACAAGUCUGAGUUGAAAGCCCACUGCUUAACCGUGGAGGGUGCUCGGAAACUGUAAGGCUUGAAUCCAGAAGAGGCAAGUAGAAUUCUAUGUGGAGCGGUGGAAUGCGUAGAUAUAUUGAGGAAUACCAGUGGCGAAGGCGGCUUGCUGGUCUGGGAUUGCCGCUGAGGUGCGAAAGCGUGGGGAGCAAACAGG